AUUGAACGCUGGCGGCAGGCCUAACACAUGCAAGUCGAGCGGAUGAAGGGAGCUUGCUCCUGGAUUCAGCGGCGGACGGGCGAGUAAUGCCUAGGAAUCUGCCUGGUAGUGGGGGAUAACGUCCGGAAACGGGCGCUAAUACCGCAUACGUCCUUAGGGAGAAAGUGGGGGAUCUUCGGACCUCACGCUAUCAGAUGAGCCUAGGUCGGAUUAGCUCGUUGGUGGGGUAAAGGCCUACCAAGGCGACGAUCCGUAACUGGUCUGAGAGGAUGAUCAGUCACACUGGAACUGAGACACGGUCCAGACUCCUACGGGAGGCAGCAGUGGGGAAUAUUGGACAAUGGGCGAAAGCCUGAUCCAGCCAUGCCGCGUGUGUGAAGAAGGUCUUCGGAUUGUAAAGCACUUUAAGUUGGGAGGAAGGGCAGUAAGUUAAUACCUUGCUGUUUUGACGUUACCAACAGAAUAAGCACCGGCUAACUUCGUG
Molecule: ribosomal RNA, 484 nt
Filed under: uncultured bacterium
Lineage: Bacteria
Description: partial 16S ribosomal RNA
Rfam family: Bacterial small subunit ribosomal RNA
Source: RNAcentral